RNAcentral lists this long non-coding RNA (3407 nucleotides) under Homo sapiens (human). Its description in RNAcentral is "HSALNT0065430". Lineage: Eukaryota; Metazoa; Chordata; Mammalia; Primates; Hominidae. The record is from RNAcentral.
AAUUUUUCGUAAACAAAAUUUAAUACAACCAUAUAGUCAAGUAAUAAUGGUUAAAAGACAUUUUAUUAGAUACAACUUUUAAAAAAUUAAACUAUGCAAGAAGUAUAUUUAAACAAAACAUGUAAGUAAGUAUUCACGUGCUACAACUUAACUAAGAACAAUUAAAUACAAAGCAUUCUUUCCACUAUGAAGACUCUGGAGCCUCUAAUUGAAAGCAAAUGACCUUAGGUCUAUACUAGUUGUAAAGCAGAUUAUACUUUUGUUCAACUCUAAAUUUGUAUUGUCUUAGAGCUCCAACAACUCUCAAUAAAAAUUUAAAUAAAGAAACCUUGGGGGAGGGGUGAUAGGGAAGGGGAGAGUAAGUGCUUUUUCAAAAAGGUAAGUUGGUGCUUAUUACACAAUUUAAGAAGGGGAAGUUUAUUUACUCUAUAGGAAACAAAUAUGAACCUUAUCUAAGGUAAGCUUCAUUUAGAUUGAAAAAAAAGUUGAAAUAGCACUAGAGAACUUAAGGCACAUAAACAAAUUCAGGUGCAGUUAUUUUGAAACCAUUAAAACAAAUUCUUUUCUUUGGAACAAUAUAUAAAAUAAGUUAUGAAUGUUGCUGUUUUUAUCAGCACUAGGAAAAUUUAAUAUCUAAGGCAAUCACACAAAUGUAAAAUGUUCAUAUAAAACAUUAAAAAAUGUCUAAAGUGUCUCUGGAAUUAUUCAUUCACACUCCUGGCUCAAAUGGUUUCUGGUGCCUAGCAUUAGAUGUGACAAUAAUGAUAGCUAGCUAGUCAAACCUACUGCCUUAAAGAUCAACCAAUUUGCUCCAUUCUGGUUACUUGGCAUGGUAAAUUUAUUUAACUAAAAAGAAUAAUGGGGUGAGGUGAUGUAAACCUGGCUUUCAAUAAGAUGCACAACAAAUUCUAAUAAGGCCAAAACUCUGUUGAGGUUAACUGGUGUCUUGAGUUUACUAAAAUAAAGGCAGUCCAUAGGAAGCCUCAAAGAGACAUUAUCUUACCACUUGGCACCACAAAAACACCAAGCUCUCCUCUCUGAAAAUACAGGCCGGGGGUGGUGGCUCACGCCUGUAAUCCCAGCACUUUGGGAGGCCGAGGUGGGCGGAUCACGUGGUCAGGAGUGAUCCGUCUCUACUAAACCCCGUCUCUACUAAAAAUACAAAAAAAUUAGCCGGGUGUGGUGGCACGCACCUGUGGUCUCAGCUACUCGGGAGGCUGAGGCAGAAUCCCUUGAACCCGGGAGGUGGAGGUUGCAGUCAGCUGAGAUCGCGCCACUGCACUCCAGCCUGGGCGACAGAGCAAGACCCCGUUCUCCCCCCUUCCCCAAAAAAAAAAAAAAACGAAAAAAAUACAGUUUGAAGUAGAUGUCGUCUUUUCCACAUAUAAAUCUCAAGACAUAAAAGGCACACACAAUUCAACUCCUCUCUUUUCAUAUAUGGGUUCUCACAGCAAUUUAAAAAAUCUAUUGCCAUAUCCAGACAACAGGAGAAAAAAAAAAUACCUGGUUUGCUUAUUGACAAAAGUGGUGUAAUUGAACCUUUGUCUUUCCUGAGUUUCAAAAAGGCUAUUUGACAGUAGAGAUACAUAAACAAUUCAUAUUCAGUAAGAUAAAAUGUAUCAGUCCACAAAACAUUUUCAUCUUUUUAAGUAUAAAAGAAUCAAUGUUCAACCACCACCAUGUGUGAAGCCCCUUUUUCCAAAUUAAACUUACUCUAGAAUCAUGAAUUGAAGAUUAUUCAGUCAUGGCACUUUACACCCCAAACGAGCAAAAGUAACAAGUUAAUACCCUCCCUGAGUAUUUACAUCAUCUUAUCACCUGGUUUAAAUGGAGUAAAUACCUAUAUUUCAAUCAUCUAGGAAAUAAAAAGGUUACUGAAGAUCCAAUACACUAGUAUUUCAUACCUGUGCAGUAAAGUCAGUGGGAAGAUUACAGUAGAAAAGGAGGAAGUUCUACUGUUGUAAAAAUUAGACCACUUUUGUAGCUGACUCACAUAGAGGAAAAACAGAAAAUGAUUAAAGUUCAUGAAAAAAAAACUAUACUUUUCUGUUCUACAAAGCAUACCUUUGAAUUCCCUUUCCAACUGAGGUAUCACAGCUGGGUUUAGCAAACUCAUCUCUUCUGACCUUGUAAAACUAAAUUGUCAUAAAGAUUCUGAUUAUACAUAAGUCAUCGUUACUAAUACUCAUCAUGUACUUUCAAAUGUAAAAAGUUCUAGAAAUGCCCAAAUAAAAAAAAAUUCCAGAAUUGAAUUUAGCAUGGUCAACUAAUUUUUACUUUAUGUGCUUUUUUGCUGAUCAUCACAGACUGCUAAAAUUCAUGGUGUUUGGUAUAUAUGUGUGUAUACAACCAUACUAUCUACAUACAUACACAUGUACAUAUAUAGAUUCUAAACCAAAGGUUCAUAUGAGCAUCACCUAUCAAAAGAAAAAUCUUUAUGUGAUGAGAGAAUGAAUACAAUCUGACACCAAUUUGGUUGAUAUACCCCUUUUGAUAUAUUAAUUCUACUCUAAAAUUCUUUUUUAUUUUAUCAAGUCUAAUGCUAUUAUUUAUCAAGAAUUAGUAAAGGAAGAUAAAUAUUAAAAAAUUAAAAUAUUAAGUUGGGUAACUUUAAAAAUAGUUAUUUAAAUUUUCUAAGAUUCAACCUAAGUUCUUGGUGGCCUUCAAUAUAAAUUUUAAGUACUUAAUUUAUGUAGUUUUAAAUUAUGUAGAGAAAAAAUUAAUAUUGGUGUGAGGUCUGUGUUUAAAAAAAUUCUGUUUUUCAGGAUUUCAUUUCAAAUUUACUAUAAUAAACACAUGGAUAUUAAAAUAAAUGUAUAACAAAAUAAAAGUAAAUAGUUAAUACUUUUUACAACAGAAAAAUACUAGAAUAUAAAGUUGUCUUGAGAAAGUCUUUUUUUAUGUGAAGUCCUAUAUUCAUGAAAUGGACAUGAUCUUACAAAUACACAUGAAAAUAACAACUAUCAUUUGUAGAAUCCUCAGCAUUUACAAAAUACUUUUUCACACAUUAUCUCAUUUACUGUAAAGAAUUUCUUAACUAAAUAAUUCUAUUAUCUAUAAGAGUAUAAUGCAGAUGUUUACUCUAAAAUUAAAGUACAAGUAUCCAAACUGUACCUACAUUCUUUCAACUAAGAGGAUAGAAAAUUGUUUUCUGAAUUGUUGUUAUCACAAAAUGGUAUCUAUCAUUUUAAAAUUAUGAUUUGAAAAAUAAAAAUUCCCUAAAAAUUUUUAAGUUUUUUAGAGUUUUCCUCAGAAUGUAGAUUCUAGCUAAGCAUUAAAGUUUAAAAAAUGUCUAUCUGAAAUCUCUGAAUCAUUCUAAAAUGAGAAAACAAUGUAGCUUACCAAUGUUAGGCUUUUUAUUUCAACCUUGGUUUUAACAGAAAUCUGGUGACACUUUAAUUACAUAU